AGUGAACGCUGGCGGUAGGCCUAACACAUGCAAGUCGAACGGCAGCACAGUAAGAGCUUGUUCUUACGGGUGGCGCGUGGCGGACGGGUGAGGAAUAUAUCGGAAUCUACUUUUUCGUGGGGGAUAACGUAGGGAAACUUACGCUAAUACCGCAUACGACCUACGGGUGAAAGCAUGGGAUCUUCGGACCUUGCGCGAUUGAAUGAGCCGAUGUCGGAUUAGCUAGUUGGCGGGGUAAAGGCCCACCUAGGCGACGAUCCGUAGCUGGUCUGAGAGGGUGAGCAGCCACACUGGAACUGAGACACGGUCCAGACUCCUACGGGAGGCAGCAGUGGGGAAUAUUGGACAAUGGGCGAAAACCUGAUCCAGCCAUACCGCGUGGGUGAAGAAGGACUUCGGGUUGUAAAGCCCUUUAGUUGGGAAAGAAAAGCAGCAGGUUAAUACCCCGCUGUUCUGACGGUACCCAAAGAAUAAGCACCGGCUAACUUCGUG
This 492-nucleotide ribosomal RNA is filed under the name uncultured bacterium. Its description in RNAcentral is "partial 16S ribosomal RNA". It matches the Rfam family "Bacterial small subunit ribosomal RNA", at positions 29 to 507 of the family's 1533-position model. The record is from RNAcentral.